RNA transcript from Ictalurus furcatus (blue catfish), 4467 nucleotides. It is a transcript of the gene named ADP-ribosylation factor-like 13b, with no coding region annotated. NCBI's taxonomy places the organism in Eukaryota, Metazoa, Chordata, Actinopteri, Siluriformes, Ictaluridae. The transcript has 12 exons. The record is from RefSeq and is a predicted model, not a curated record.
UGUGUGUGUGUGUGUGUGUGUAUAUAUUCCAGUUUUAUAUUCUUGUUAUGGGAGACAAUAAUGAUUCUCGAUUCUGAUUGGUUGAAAGGUGUUGAUGUCGUCUCUGAAGACACAUUUAUUUAACACUUAUGGAAGGAGUCUCCGGAGUCUCGGCGGUAAAGCCGUGUUUCCCGACAUGGAAAAGGUUUCAGGGCCGAGAACUUUUCAGUUUCUUAUGAACUUCAAGAGAAGUCUUUAUUAGGUCGCAUGAAUUAUAUCAUCUGAUUUGCGAACAUUAUAAGGUGACGCUUUGGAGAUGUAAUGUUUUAUCCCCCAGAGUACUCCAAAAUAAGCUGUGAGGCUUAACGCUAGCAUCUUAAGCUAACUGCUAAUCAGGCGAGCAGCGUUUGUCCUUCAGCGCUGAUCUCCUCAGCGGGGUUAAGUUGGAAAUCCCCGGCCUAAUCCCAGCGUAGCAGGGUUAACCGAGGCCAAGAGGAACGGGAGCGUGUUCGUUUUGAAGGUACAGGGCAGUUGGUAGGAAAGGAGGGACUGGUAGCGAGCAUCUCGCCUCGCUUUAACGAUCGAUGAAGUCUUCCUGGCUGCAGAGGACUUGUACUUGGAUAGGGCGCUUGAUGUCGUUGUGGCGCAAGUGCCGCAGGAAGGUGACGCUGGUGAUGGUGGGACUGGACAAUGCUGGGAAAACCGCCACAGUACGGGGCAUCCAGGGAGAGAGUCCUCUAGACGUGGCCCCAACGGUGGGCUUCUCCAAAGUGGACCUAAAGCAGGGCAAGUUCGAGGUCACGAUAUUUGACCUCGGCGGCGGGAAGCGGAUCCGGGGCAUCUGGAAGAACUACUACUCCGAGUCGUAUGGCGUGGUGUUCGUGGUGGACUCGAGCGACGUCCAGAGGAUCCAUGAGACCAGAGACACCAUGGCGGAAGUGCUGCGGCACCCUCGCAUCGCCGGAAAGCCUGUGCUAGUGCUGGCCAACAAACAGGACCGAGACGGAGCGAUGGCUGAAGCGGACAUCAUCGAGAACCUGUCACUUGAAAAGCUUGUCAAUGAGAACAAGUGUCUGUGUCAGAUUGAACCGUGCUCGGCAGUCCUGGGCUACGGUAAGAAGAUCGACAAGUCCAUCAAGAACGGCCUGAACUGGCUCCUGAACAACAUCGCCAAAGACUACGAGGCGAUUACAGAGCGCGUUCAGAGGGACACGGCCGAGCAGCGUGUACAAGAGGAGCAGGAUAAGAAGGAGAGAGCGGAGCGAGUGAAACGGAUUCGAGAGGAGAGAGACAGACAAGAGUGUGAAGAGGCGGAGAAAGCAGGCAGGCAAAUAAAGGAGGAGGAGUCUGAGGACGCCGAUAUGUCCAACCCAUUCCAGCCAAUAAACCAUAUUGUUGCGGAGAAUGAAAACAAGUCGAAACAAGAAACGGAGAUGAAAAAGCAGGGAGGAGAGGUCGUGCAGGACGGCAAAGAAGAAGAGGAGGAGGAGGAGGAAGAGGAAGAGAGUGAAAGACAGACUCCAGAGAGCCCAGAAUCAGGUCCAACAGACCAGACCAAAAAGAAGAUGAAGAAAAUACGGCUCAAGCGGAAAAACAGAGUCGACCCUCUCGUAACGGACGACGCAGCCAAGAGCCCGACUCCACCACCCGCACCAGUUGGAUGGGCUACUCCCAAAGUUUCUAGACUCCCCAAGCUCGAACCUCUUGGAGAUUCAAGGCGUUCUGCAGUCUCUCACACUUUCACAGAUCAUGCUUCAGCCUCAAUGAGUCCGCUGUAUCUCACCAUGCUUUCAGCAUGCAUGCUCAUGACACAGGAAAUCAUCUCUCCAUCUCUUGUCUUCUACAGUGUGGCCAGUAGUAUCUACUAAUCCCCCUCCUUUUUUUUAAACCAUGAAAUAAUCCUGUACUUUUCUUACUUUAGCUGUUCUGUAGGUUUGUUGUUCAGCCAGUAUAGUAUGACCAUGUGUUUACAUGCUUUUAAUGCAAGUCAAGGCAACUGGACUUUUAUUCCUGUGGAAUAAAAUAGAUUCUUCUGUUGAAAGCCACUUCAAGUGACGCAGAAAGGAGAUGUAAAUUACAGGCACUGGUGUUGGGUGAGGAGGUCCGGUGUGCAGUUCAUCUCGAAGGUCUUCAGUCGGGAUGAGUCGGCUUGAUUCGAUUCGAUUCUCGUAUUACUUUUUUUUAACAAUAUUUAAAUAAAGCAAAAUUAUGACUGAAAACUUUUAUUUCCGAAUCAUAAACAGUGCAAAACAACGUGUUUUUUUUUUUGUUGUUUUUUUUUUUGUCAGUUUAAAACUAAGUAAAGUUAAAAAAUGAUGCAUGCAUGUUUAAUAUUGCAAACAAAAUGGCCUACAGGUUCACCGUAUCUUUAAAAAAUUCUAAAUAAAUUUAUAAAGUGUCUGACCUGGGCGAAAUAAUCAGUUGAAACAUGAUGCGCUCUGUAGCAGAAAUAGAGCUCCAAAGUCGGCUAAACUGGACGCUUUCUGCAGCCUCUGGUGGUGUUUGAAAGCUAGAGAGGGCAGGGCUCUGUGCAGGAGAUCUUUUACUCCAACCUUGGCAAACCAUGUCUUCAUGGAGCUCGCUUUGUGCACGGGGCAUCGUCGUGCUCGAAGGUUUGAGCCCGUUGGUUCCAGUGAAGGGAAUCGUAAUGCUACGGCAUAUAAAGACAUUUUAUACAGUUGUUUAGGGAAGGGUCCACGUACAAGUGUGAUGGUCAGGUGUCCAUAUACUUUUGGCCAUAUAGUGUGUGUGUGUCUGUACUUGAGAGAGAAUACUGACCGGUCCAAUUGUCUUGACUUUCUACUUUCAUGUAGCGGAAAUGAUCUGGAUGAUUGAAACAUCUUCGUUAAUAUCUGAUCACAGCGCUGUGUGUUGAGUGUGUUUUCCAUCUGAUACACUCGAUCCAUUAGCGUAACACUGCUGGAGCGGGAUUAACACUUCAUUAUACACUACUGUGUUCAACGCUGAAUCAGGGGUUCAACUGUGAUUUGCUGUUACAGCUUUUAAGAUUUCUAUGGCAGGCCCCUCCCACCUGUAGCAAUUAGACAGAGACCAAAUGCCCACGCCGUGUAAAUACGCAACAAUCACCAGCCAGUGUCGGCGAGAGGAACCAAUCAGCUUGCUAAGAGGGAUCAUGUGACCAGCCAAGGAUUGGGAAUUCCACAGAGACUCGUGGUUUAUUUGAAACUUUCAGCAGUGACCGAAUUUGGAUCUACAAAAGUAGACAUUUUAUUUUUUCCACCAAAAGAAGAAGCGUUAAUCUCCAACGAUAAGAUUAUAGCGUUCAUCGAAUUGUCUGUGUAUAAAUCUUUAUUUUUAGACUGAAUCACAUAUAACUGUGAAAUCUGCGCUUUUUUGAGACAGGAGAUAUUAGUAUAUAUUAAAUAACACUACAACUGUGCUGAACAGAACUUGCUCCCGCUCGUGCACACGCUCGUUGUCAAGCUGUUGGGAUUAAAAACACCAUGAAGGCUUGUGCAUCAGCAUGUGAUGAUGAAAGGUACUGGUAUUUGAUGUCGUUUCCAACCUGCUGGGGUUCCAGAUGUUCUGAAAGUGAACACUUUUUUAUUUUUUAUCAGGAUUUUGCUGGUGUACAUGCCCACCACAACUUCCAGAAUCUCACCAGCAGCUAACAACAAAACAUAUUGUUAAAGGAAAAAUUCACCCUGAACUUCUUUAUCAUGAACAUGUGAUCAACAGCAUCCAAGAUUUAUUUUGUAAGGAAAUUCUGAGUUUAAGUUUAAACGUCUCGUAUCAACAUGUUGGUCUAUUUUUCCUACGUUACCCACAAUGCCACAAUGUGACUUCCUGCUGAUCAUUGUAACAGCCCUGGCUUCAUCUCUACAUAAAGAGAGCGAUGCAGGGGCGCUUUAGUCCUUUAGUCUGUCCAGUUCACUCACCUCCUCAUCUGUACACUCUCUUUAAACAGACCGGCUUCCAAAGCUUUUAUGCCGAUACCAUCGUCAACGCCAUCACGCUCGUCAUCUCGGAGAUCUCUAGCCGAGCCGAGUCUCUGACGUAGCUUCGUAUCGUAUAGCUGCAUUGCAUUCUGGGGCUUUUUUUUUAGGCCAGGGUCUUGCACCGACGUCUCCACUACUUCUGCGCUGAAUUUCUGGUUAAUAAAUAUUACGCACUACAGAAAUGGUGAGUGAGGAAAAGAAGCUGAAGGUUAUCCGUUUUGUUUGAAAUGUAUUCUUCAAGCAUAACUUCUCACAGAAAGAAUGAAAAUACAGAACCAACCAACGAAUAAGCACCUCGCAGAUAUUUAACGUGUUUCAGGGUGGAGUUUUCCUUUAAAGUGAAUAUUUUCCCGAUGGGAAACACACAGCAGAAUUCUUUAACCAGUGCGCCGAGAAGCAUUUCACUUUCACUGGUUUAUGGACACUUUAUGUAUUUCUGUUGCUAAGCCGAAGCAUGUACGGACUACAGCGUAGUGCUUUGUUUGAAAAGGGCAGUGUUUGUUUUUUAUUUUUAGUUUUAGGUUUGUUU